CUCGGACCCAACCACCAUGAUUGGGUAACUGGGACUGGCGGGAGGGGCAUGAGGGACCAAUGCCGUGGAGGGGGCUGUCAUGGGGGCCGGAUGGGGUGGGCGUGAGAGGUGGGUGUUCAGGACGUGAGCAAGGGCAGUGAUUGGAUCGGAAGGCUCGGGGACAUUAGCGGAAGACGAGGGAGGGGUCGGGGGUUCGGGAGGAGGAGGAGGAGGAGGCAAAUCAGUGGGAGGUGGAGUAGGAAUCGCU
Molecule: non-coding RNA, 247 nt
Organism: Pelobates cultripes (western spadefoot toad)
Lineage: Eukaryota; Metazoa; Chordata; Amphibia; Anura; Pelobatidae
Source: the annotation of a GenBank genome assembly